CAAAAACAAAAUAUGUUCACACGAGCAUAAAAACUGUUGCAGUGAAUCAAUGCUAUAGACAACUUAAUUGGUCAUGCUCCACAUCUAAGGAAUUUCGUAAAUUUCUGUUAUGGUCUCGGCCCAACACGUGAAAAAUGGGCUGAAGGAAAUGGUGUUGAGAGCUAUCCUCUCUGAUUCUUGUUUCACUUUUUCUUCUGGCCAUUUGCUUGAAGUUGAAAUCAAAUGCUCCCUAUGUUCUCAUAGGGGUAGCUAUUCGUGCUGCUGUCCAAGCAUUCUGACGAGAGAAGCUGCAGCUUAACCAUUCAUCAAAGAAGAAAGGAGAGAUAUGAUCAGGAAAGUUUACUGGCGUAUCAUGUUUUGUUUUUGUGAUAUCACUACCUGAAAUAAGAAGAUGGUAAAGAAUGUUUGGAUCUAUGUCACGCAAAUGUACUCUUGUAUCUAAUUUGUGUAUUUGCAUGCCUCCAGUUUAUUUAAGCUUAAGAUCCUAGUGUCAUGUUCUAUGCAGAAUAAGGGGCGCUGAGCAUUCUCGGAUCAUCUUUGAGAAAGAGGCAUCCAGUUUCCAUUUGUUGUGACUGACAGCGUUAUAAAAUUAUAAUAGAGGUUCCAUUUGAAUUCUUAUUGUCUAACAGCAAGGCCUUCUCAGGUUUUUGCUGCCUCAUGAACUUCUUUCUAAGAUUCCAUGAACAGUUGUUUAAGUUUUUGUCGAGUAUUUAAGUUUUGAUGAUUAACAAAGUAUGACUAAAUGUUCAAAGAACCACGUCCUCAACGUAGCUGCUUAAUUGUUCUGAAGAACCAGCUCCUCGAAAGAAAGGAUCAGCUCCUCAUGUUGAUACUUGUACGUCUGUACAAGACAAUAACUUUAUCUCAAAGUUACUCAGGUCCGAGCUUGGUGAAAGAAGGCUGCUAUAAGUGAUAAGGAUCGUUGCUCAAGAAGAUAUGGAUAAUUCAGUCAGAGACAAAAGUCUUGUGAAAUCUUUGGAAUAGUAGGAGUCCUAUGAAAGAGGAAGCUAACUAUGAAUAGGACUCCUAGAAGAUCUCAAGUUGAAGCUUUUAAAUAUGAUCGACUUUGGACUUCUGAACUAUCCUUUUACACAUCAACAAAAGAGUCAUAAGUCGUUUAGUCGAGUCGAGUACUUGCAUUGUAUUCUUUCUGAGUCAGUCUAGUGAAUGUAUUUUAGAAAAUUGAGAUGUAAUCAAGUGUCAUAAACAAUUAGUGAGUUGGAGUGAAUGUUUUGCUUUACAAGUUAGAGUAACUUGUAAAUCAAAUAAGAGUAGUAGGAGUGCUAGAGAAUAUUUAAUUACAGUCUUUUAAUUGAUACAUUUUGGCUCAUUGUUCCAGUGGAGUUGGAGUUGAAAAUCCUACGUGGUAGGUCGUGGUUUUUGCACCUUUUGAGCCGGGCGAUUUUUCACGUAAAAAUCGUUGUGUUCAUUUUAUUGC
This is a long non-coding RNA of Nicotiana tabacum (common tobacco), 1438 nucleotides long. RefSeq lists it as uncharacterized. Lineage: Eukaryota; Viridiplantae; Streptophyta; Magnoliopsida; Solanales; Solanaceae. The record is from RefSeq and is a predicted model, not a curated record.